RNAcentral lists this ribosomal RNA (109 nucleotides) under Cebus imitator (Panamanian white-faced capuchin). Lineage: Eukaryota; Metazoa; Chordata; Mammalia; Primates; Cebidae. The record is from RNAcentral.
GUCUACGGCCAUACCACCCUGAACGCACCCAGUCUUGUCAACUAUGCAGGGUCAGGCCUCGUUAGUACUUGGAUGGGAGACUGCCUGGGAAUAGCAGGUGCUGUAGGCU